This is a long non-coding RNA of Cyprinus carpio carpio, 467 nucleotides long. The record is from Ensembl. NCBI's taxonomy places the organism in Eukaryota, Metazoa, Chordata, Actinopteri, Cypriniformes, Cyprinidae.
AGGAAGUACAUAUUGGAGAUACAUGAAGAGAAGCAGGAAGAAACCCAACUAUGCCUGUAGAAGUUUGAGCUCCUGGAGGAGGCCCAGCUCCUCUGAAACCUCCUCCAUGAUCUCCUGAGCAGCAUCCUGCAUGGACUGACUGUUGUUUAGAAGCAGGUCAAAGUUGUUGGAGAAUGUUUGCCCCAGCCACAUGCUCUGAGCCAGUCAAACUACUUGUGGAUCUUCAUUCCCCUUUUACUGAUGUGGGUCAUCACCGCCUUCUACUUCACAAAGAGAGAAAAAAGAUGGAUCCUCUUCCUCUACAAUCUACAGAUCCAGAAACUUUCUCCUUCAUCAAAAGACAAUGACAUCGGCUAAGAAAUCAAAAACAGACAUUUAUAAAGAACACCUCAAUCGCUUUGGAGACAUUCUUGUCUACAUCUGCUCCGGAGGUGAAACAAUGGCGGACUGAUGACAGCUCACUCAGG